UUGGCUCAGUACUUUUUGAGCCAAAAUAAGUGCUGCCAUAAUAUUGUGCUUACUUGUCUGGCUGACUUCUUCUCACUUUCCAUUGUAGAUGUUUACUGGUGGUGAUAAUGUCACAAAGAAGAACCAGACUGAGCCCUGAAUCUGAGGCUGCUCCUUUUAUCUGGAGUCAACAAGCCUUGUUUGAAAGCCCAGUGGAUCAAUGAUUAUAAAGACACCAAGUGACGGGAUCUUGACUGAACCUUCUGGAGACCAAGAAGGGAGUGAGAGAGCCACUUCAUCCUUACAACAGACAUUAAGUGUUCCGAUCCUGAUGAAACCUUCUGAAGAUCAAGAAAGGAGUGGAAGAUCCACUUCUUCCUUAAACAGACACCAAAUGACAGGUACCUGACUGAACCCUCUGGAGACCAAGAAUGGAGUGAGAGAUCCACUACAUCCUUACAACAGACAUCAAGUGACAGGUACCUGACUGAACCCUCUGGAAACCAAGAAUGGAGUGAGAGAUCCACUUCAUCCUUACAACAGGUUACUAUUUCUUAUCAUGAUAUACUAGGUUUGAAUUUUCAAUGUUCUUUGACAAACACAGGAGAAGUUAUAAGUCAGAAACAUGGACUCUCCAUGAUUUCAGUCGUCAUGUCCUCAUAUUUCUUUAGACCUGAAAAACCCGAGUGUGUUUCAGGUGACAUGACUUUUGCCUUAACCUAACUCUGGAGAGCCUGUGUUCGAAUGUCCCCAU
Hippocampus zosterae (dwarf seahorse) is the source of this 733-nucleotide long non-coding RNA. RefSeq lists it as uncharacterized. The record is from RefSeq and is a predicted model, not a curated record. Lineage: Eukaryota; Metazoa; Chordata; Actinopteri; Syngnathiformes; Syngnathidae. The transcript has 6 exons.